CAUUACCCAUGCCCUGUGAAUGGCCAGUUGUUGGUUGGGGAGCAGGAGGCGGCACUGCACUGUAGUAAGAUGAAUAACCCAAAGAAGUUGUGUACGCAGGUUGAGCACCAGACUGCCCAUACACAUUUGAUGUUGCAGGCGGAGCAGAUGUGCUGUUUUCAGAUGGCACCCCUGGUGGGUAGCUUUGUUGAGCCUCACUAGGCGUCACAGUCUGAGUUGGUGCACCUGGGGGAACUGG
RNAcentral lists this long non-coding RNA (238 nucleotides) under Populus trichocarpa (black cottonwood). RNAcentral's name for it is "long non-coding RNA (PTRI_LNC000129)". The record is from RNAcentral. Lineage: Eukaryota; Viridiplantae; Streptophyta; Magnoliopsida; Malpighiales; Salicaceae.